CUUACUCAUAGUUAUAGUUUCCACUGAAGAUCAGUGUAUGCUUGGUCUUCCUCAAUGCUUCCCAAUUUAAUUCUUUUCAUUUCUGCUAAAGCACUAUGAAUCUGUUAUUUCUGAAUCUUUAUGCAUGCUUUCAUGAGUUUCAUGUGAGCAUGUUAAAUUAUGCAUUAUAGGUUCAUAUCCAUUGCUCAACAUUUCUAACCAAUAUUUGUAUCGUGGGUUUAGGAAAACUUCCAUUUUUGUGUAUAUAAGAUUUCGUGCUAUUCCUGUAGACAGUAUAUAUUUAUAUGGAACAUUUGUAAUUCAUUGAACACUUAAAUUUGUGGUUUCACUGUACCCAUGAAAUCCACGAAAAUUGAUAUCCAACGAAAAAUAAUGAUUCCACAGAAAAAGAAAAUGUGGGGCAUACAUCAAUGAAACAGCAACCCAAUAAAAUAAAAAAAGACCAAAAAAUAUAAACAUCAACCUACAGACUUCAACAUCAGUCAGAUGACCAUACAAUAUAUGAAUCACUAGAAAGAAUGAUUGCAGUAACCAAAAGCCAGCUAGAAGGGUUGAGAAGUUGAGAUCUCAAUAUAUGUUUAACCCUGCCACAUUUUUGCACCUG
RNAcentral lists this long non-coding RNA (604 nucleotides) under Mytilus galloprovincialis (Mediterranean mussel). Lineage: Eukaryota; Metazoa; Mollusca; Bivalvia; Mytilida; Mytilidae. The record is from RNAcentral.